GAUGAACGCUAGCGGGAGGCCUAACACAUGCAAGCCGAGCGGUAGGGUCUCUUCGGAGACUUGAGAGCGGCGCACGGGUGCGGAACACGUGUGCAACCUGCCUUUAUCUGGGGGAUAGCCUUUCGAAGGGAAGAUUAAUACCCCAUAAUAUACUGGAUGGCAUCAUCUGGUAUUGAAAACUCCGGUGGAUAGAGAUGGGCACGCGCAAGAUUAGAUAGUUGGUGAGGUAACGGCUCACCAAGUCAGCGAUCUUUAGGGGGCCUGAGAGGGUGAUCCCCCACACUGGUACUGGGACACGGACCAGACUCCUACGGGAGGCAGCAGUGAGGAAUAUUGGACAAUGGGUGAGAGCCUGAUCCAGCCAUCCCGCGUGAAGGACGGCGGCCCUAUGGGUUGUAAACUUCUUUUGUAUAGGGAUAAACCUAGAUACGUGUAUCUAGCUGAAGGUACUAUACGAAUAAGCACCGGCUAACUCCGUG
RNAcentral lists this ribosomal RNA (479 nucleotides) under uncultured bacterium. Its description in RNAcentral is "partial 16S ribosomal RNA". It matches the Rfam family "Bacterial small subunit ribosomal RNA", at positions 28 to 507 of the family's 1533-position model. The record is from RNAcentral.